This is a non-coding RNA of Rhinopithecus roxellana (golden snub-nosed monkey), 1546 nucleotides long. Lineage: Eukaryota; Metazoa; Chordata; Mammalia; Primates; Cercopithecidae. The record is from the annotation of a RefSeq genome assembly.
ACAAGGAUGCAUCACAUUAGGAAACUUUUGGCAGGAAGUCAGUGGGUGCGAUGGUUCCUGGGAUUCCUCACAUACUUCUCACAAGGGUGCCUGAGACCAGGUUUGAGGACAAGCCCAUGUACCUGCAACGUAGGAAGCUGUGUAUCACAUUGCAACAAGGAAUGAUCCUGGCCCUGGUAAAGUCAACAGCAACAGUCAUCACAGGCGAAUCUGCCUAUCAGGGAUUGGAGACUCUCUAAACUCCCGCCUCUCAACCCAGGAAUCAGAGCCUGAGACAGAGAGAUGCUUCAUUCCUGCAUGAGGUGGUAUUCCCGCCAUGAGUCCUGGGCUUCUCCACUGGAUGGCCCUUUGUCUCCUUGGAACGGGUCAUGGGGAUGUCAUGGUCAUCCAGAACCCAAGAUACCAGGUUACUCAGUCGGGAAAGCCAGUGACCUUGAGUUGUUCUCAGAAUCUGAACCAUAAGGUCAUGUACUGGUACCAGCAGAAGCCAAGUCAGGCCCCAAAGCUACUGUUCCACUACUAUGACAAAGAUUUUAACAAUGAAGCAGACACCCCUGAUAACUUCCAAUCCAGGAGGCCGAACACUUCUUUCUGCUUUCUUGACAUCCGCUCACCAGGCCUGGAGGAUGCAGCUGUGUACCUGUGUGCCAGCAGCAAAGACACAGAGCUACAGUGCUGCCUCCCCUUUGUUCAUAAACCUCAUUGUUUCCCACUUCCAGGUGCUUUCUCUAGGACUUCUCCCCCACCACCUCUCACAACAAUAGGAAGUGGGUUUGUGACUGUCAAUAUCUCAUCUGUAGACAGAGUUGAGCACAAACCAAUAAAAACCAUUGACAGUUAUGCCAAGAAUGGAAAAGUGGUAAUACAUGCCUGACAUUCAGUUGGUGGUAUUUUCCCAGAAUUACAUUUAGAACCCAUGCUAUCCUUUUCAGAAGAUGAACAGGAGUUUUUUCUUUCUUUUUUUCAUUGUUUUAAUCUAAGUCAGAGGCUUAGAAAUAUAAGAGGUGAUAUGUGAAGAAUGAUGGAGACCCAAUGUCAUAUAAACUCAAGUCUCUGGCAUUCGAUUAAUUUUUAUAGGAUUUAAUCUUCCUGAGGAAUCCACGUUUUUAGCCCAGACCUGGAGCAACUACCUCAUUAAUGGGAGAAUGAAAGCACAGGUGUCCCAAAAUAAAAAUCUCUCAGAGGAAAAACCACAUUGGAGAGGGAAAAAAAAGAAGACCAUACAUUAAUCUGCUCAUAUCUGGAGCUGGAGGUACUAUUGUGACGACCAAAUGGAAAUCAUAAAUAUAUAAAGAAAAGAUGCUGAAAAUAGAGUACAUUUGGAGAUGAAGAUCAUGGAGCCAUCUGUAUAGAAGACAGUAAUAAUGUCAUUAAGAUGCAUAAGAGCGCCAUCAAAAGUCAAUAAGAAAAACUACAGGAGGGAAGAAGAUGGAAGAUCCUGCUCCCCUUAACAAAGAUAAACAAAAUGCUGAGUGAGAAAUAUUGCAACCUCAUAAAUUGUCACAUGAAAGUAUAUAAUUACAAAUUACUUGAUAAUUAAAAUCCC